UUUGAUCCUGGCUCAGAACGAACGCUGGCGGCAGGCUUAACACAUGCAAGUCGAGCGCCCCGCAAGGGGAGCGGCAGACGGGUGAGUAACGCGUGGGAAUCUACCCUUGACUACGGAAUAACGCAGGGAAACUUGUGCUAAUACCGUAUGUGUCCUUCGGGAGAAAGAUUUAUCGGUCAAGGAUGAGCCCGCGUUGGAUUAGCUAGUUGGUGGGGUAAAGGCCUACCAAGGCGACGAUCCAUAGCUGGUCUGAGAGGAUGAUCAGCCACAUUGGGACUGAGACACGGCCCAAACUCCUACGGGAKKCAKCAGUGGGGAAUAUUGGACAAUGGGCGCAAGCCUGAUCCAGCCAUGCCGCGUGAGUGAUGAAGGCCCUAGGGUUGUAAAGCUCUUUCACCGGAGAAGAUAAU
Molecule: ribosomal RNA, 410 nt
Filed under: Rhizobium leguminosarum
Lineage: Bacteria; Pseudomonadati; Pseudomonadota; Alphaproteobacteria; Hyphomicrobiales; Rhizobiaceae
Description: bacterial SSU rRNA
Rfam family: Bacterial small subunit ribosomal RNA
Source: RNAcentral